GGAAAAACACACAAAAAUAACUCUUCACCAGACCACCCCUGAAGCCGCCGACCACCCUUCACCCAUCGAAAGCCCUCCGUUCUUCAUCUUCUUCAACACUAGAAGAACCAGACGAUCCCAGCCCGCCACUAUCAGACAUCGCCUCCGUUCCCACCCUAACACCACUAUCUCACCAGGCAAACGACCCUCCCCACGCCGGAAAACACCCACAGCAGACCCUUCUCCACCUUCUUCUCCAACCAGAUCAAUAGACACAUUAACGCAGCCAGGAAGACCAACCUAGUCAGCCCGCCUCUACACUGUGUUCACCCAGUCAAGUUCUGUCCGUCUCGAGUUUUCUGGUCGAGCUUCGAUAACUGAGUUUCGACAACUGUUUCCGUUGAUUCCGCGUCGAGUCUUAUAGACUGUUCAACGUUAUUUGAGCCCUGUUGCCGUCUGAAUUUGUCGUCGCUAGUUAGUCGUUGUUCGUGGUUCCGAUUUGGUUCACGUUCCCUGUUCGUGGCUGAGUUUGUUUGACAUAUCAGGUUCUAUUCAAUACUAUCUCACAAUUUGUAAACUGUUCCUGGUCGUAAACAGUAAGCUUUUCCAUUUGUACUAAUUGAGAUAUACCUAUAAAUUUCAACUGCUCGUGUUAAUUCUGUAAUACCUUGCAAAUUAGCGUCUAUGUUACUGGUUUUUGUACUUUGUUUGUGUUAUUCGUAUGGCAUAUAUGUUGCGUCGUUAUUGCUUGAAUCCAAUCAGGCUAUAAAAACCUUCGUAUAGAUAUAGAGGUUGCGGUGGGCAUAUAAUCCUUAUUAUUUGAGAUUAGACUAGUUAUAAUACCUCUUGUUGAGACUAAUUGGUUUUAUUAGUAUUAAAUAAAUAGAUUCUAGAAUACUCAUGUAUGAUAAAUGGACACUGUCCAUGUAUUCGAUGAAGAGUAUUUUCCGUAGAAG
Molecule: long non-coding RNA, 935 nt
Filed under: Nicotiana benthamiana
Lineage: Eukaryota; Viridiplantae; Streptophyta; Magnoliopsida; Solanales; Solanaceae
Description: long non-coding RNA (NBEN_LNC022937)
Source: RNAcentral